UCCAGAGCUUUCGAGGAAGGUUUCUUUAACUCGAAUUCAUCCGCCUGAUAAUUUUCUUAUAUUUUCCUAAAGAAGGAAAAGAAGCGCAUAGAAGGGAAGUGACAUAAUUUGUUAGAAUCCUUUGUUACGACUAUGAGGAAUUUGGAGCUCAGUUGAAAAGCCUAACUGCGUCGCGGGAGGUUGGGCGCGGCGAACUACUUUUGGCGGCGCACGGAGACGGCGCCUACGUAAAAAGUGAUAGGUGACGCAACAUACGUUGCAUAAAUUUGAGCUCCGCCGAAAGGGAGCGUUUAGGGGCGAGAGGCUUUGUUGGGUGAAGGUGUCUUGGACUUCAGUGGCCGGACGUGAUUGGCGAUUCGCAGCAUCGUCGUAUCCGCUAACAGGUCAAAAUGCAGAUCUUCGUGAAGACCCUGACCGGCAAGACCAUCACCCUGGAGGUGGAGCCCAGUGACACCAUCGAAAAUGUGAAGGCCAAGAUCCAGGAUAAGGAAGGCAUCCCCCCCGAC
Long non-coding RNA from Cebus imitator (Panamanian white-faced capuchin), 506 nucleotides. RefSeq lists it as uncharacterized. NCBI's taxonomy places the organism in Eukaryota, Metazoa, Chordata, Mammalia, Primates, Cebidae. The transcript has 2 exons. The record is from RefSeq and is a predicted model, not a curated record.